This 496-nucleotide ribosomal RNA is filed under the name uncultured bacterium. RNAcentral's name for it is "partial 16S ribosomal RNA". It matches the Rfam family "Bacterial small subunit ribosomal RNA", at positions 28 to 506 of the family's 1533-position model. The record is from RNAcentral.
GAUGAACGCUGGCGGCGUGCCUAAUACAUGCAAGUCGAGCGAACAGACGAGGAGCUUGCUCCUCUGACGUUAGCGGCGGACGGGUGAGUAACACGUGGAUAACCUACCUAUAAGACUGGGAUAACUUCGGGAAACCGGAGCUAAUACCGGAUAAUAUAUUGAACCGCAUGGUUCAAUAGUGAAAGACGGUUUUGCUGUCACUUAUAGAUGGAUCCGCGCCGCAUUAGCUAGUUGGUAAGGUAACGGCUUACCAAGGCAACGAUGCGUAGCCGACCUGAGAGGGUGAUCGGCCACACUGGAACUGAGACACGGUCCAGACUCCUACGGGAGGCAGCAGUAGGGAAUCUUCCGCAAUGGGCGAAAGCCUGACGGAGCAACGCCGCGUGAGUGAUGAAGGUCUUCGGAUCGUAAAACUCUGUUAUUAGGGAAGAACAAAUGUGUAAGUAACUAUGCACGCCUUGACGGUACCUAAUCAGAAAGCCACGGCUAACUACGG